CACUCUACGGAGAGAGUCUGGGGGCCAGAAGAGCAAAUAGCAAGAUGCUCUUGUGACUGUCCUGGACACAGAAAAAACGCAGAGGGGACCAAUGGAUCCCCAGGCCAUUCCUGAGGCCAGAUUAGCAGACUGUGUUGACCCAGACUCCAAAGGAUCCAAGGCUGCCAAUAGGAGAUAUCUUUGGUUCGGAUGAGGCUGGAUUUACUCAAGUCAGCCAAUCAAUACAAAGAAAUCCAUCAAAUGAAAUAUAGUAGAGGGGUCACGAAGACAUGGCAACAUUCUUGAACGACUGAAGACAAGAAAGCAAUGUGGAUGACGAGAAGACCAACAAAGCUCAUCCCUGCCUCAAGACUCUCUGAUGGCCCACAUUCAUCUUCCAACCAGGGGUCACUUUUGAUUUCUGCCCUUCUCCUUCUAGCAAAGUGCAGGCCCCAAGGCUGGAGUCUUCAGAGCCCUUGUGUUCACCUGGCCUCCCAGAACAUCCAGGCUUGGCACCCAUCCCUUCCUCUUCUCCAGCCAAAUAAACCUGUCCUGGAUCCUGAA
Long non-coding RNA from Canis lupus familiaris (dog), 543 nucleotides. RefSeq lists it as uncharacterized. NCBI's taxonomy places the organism in Eukaryota, Metazoa, Chordata, Mammalia, Carnivora, Canidae. The record is from RefSeq and is a predicted model, not a curated record. The transcript is spliced from 2 exons.